GUUUCUCUUUUAAUUCCAAUCCAAUAACUGGAGCUUUCUGCGAUAUCUGAAACUAGGUCUGCAUGCUUGGAAAGUGCAAUUUGAGUAGCAUUGUCUCGUAUAACAGCUAGAAAUCCUUUCUUCUGAGCACAGCUAAUAUUAGCUUGACUAUAACUUAAGGCAGUGUUUGAAAAGAAAUAGCAUUUCCGUCGUAAUUCAAAAUUAAUUUCUGUUCAGUUCGUUAAUCCCGCAGGGCAACCGUCUGAAAAAAUAAGAAUAUUGUUUUAAAUAAGCGCUAAUCAAAUUAGCA
RNAcentral lists this long non-coding RNA (289 nucleotides) under Mytilus galloprovincialis (Mediterranean mussel). Lineage: Eukaryota; Metazoa; Mollusca; Bivalvia; Mytilida; Mytilidae. The record is from RNAcentral.